This 1298-nucleotide long non-coding RNA is filed under the name Olea europaea subsp. europaea. Lineage: Eukaryota; Viridiplantae; Streptophyta; Magnoliopsida; Lamiales; Oleaceae. The record is from RNAcentral.
CCAAUAAAUCCAUGGCUUCGUAUAACUUUGCUCGUAUAAUUCUCUUCUCUACAAUCCUUUUUGUCCUCUUCACGCCUCGUCAAUGUAAGUUCAUUAUAAACUCUUAUUUUUUCUAUUCUAAUCAGUAUCUUAAAAGAUGUAAAGUGUAAUAAAGCGACAAGAUCAAAUCCAAGUAAAGUCUAACCGAAUCUAGAAGAACUUUUUAGAAUGGUGAUUCGAAUUUUUUACUCAUGGGAAAGAGUAAUUUGCCUUCCAACUUGACUUUCGUGCAUUCCCUUUUAGUCAAUGUCUUGAUGGCUGAAAGGCAUGAAUAUACAAAUCAAAUUGACAUAUUGAUCAAAUCGUAUAAUUUUCACUUGCUAUUGGAGAUAACACAUAAACAAAUCAAAAUGUCCUCUCUCUCUCCCUCCCUCUCUCUCUCUCUUCCCCGCGCGCUAGCGCUGCAUUAGUUAUAAUAGUAUUGAAAAGAAGAGCAAAGCAUUAAGCACUUGUUUAGUCAACAGUGCUAUACGUCACUAUAAAAAUAUAAAAAGCAAGAUUUUUUUUAUUUUUAUUUUCACUCAACAUUUCUGUGUUUCCAACCUAUCAAACAUGCAUUUAUAAUUGUUCAAAUGUUAUUUAUUAAUAUCUUGCCUGUAUUAGCUUAUAUUUAAAUAGGGGGACAAGAAAAAGAGCGUGAUUUAAGAGGAAGAUGCUAAAAUGAUAGCAUGAAGAUUGUAAAAAUUUUAAUGUAACGAUAUAAUACUCAUUUGAGACUGGAGAUUACACACUUAAGUCUUAAAAAGGAAUAAGAUUUUAAUAUAUUUUCUGCUUAAAAUUUUGUUUAUAGUUAUUGAGUUUGUCCUAUCAAAUAUGUAGCAAUAAUGGUUCAAAUGUUCACUAUUAAUUUCUUGUUGGUACAUUUUGUUUUAAUUUCUUAAUUUUGAUUUAAAUAGGUCACAUAAACAAGAACGCAAUUGAGCAGGGAGACAGGGGGACGAUAACACCUUCGAAUGCAAGUCAAAGUGAGUUAAAGGAGGAAAAAAUAUAUCUUGAUUUUUGCAAGAAGGAUGAGUGUAAAGAAAUUGGAAGAUGCUGGUGUUGUCUUAGAAUUGGCCCUUAUUUUACCAAAUGCUAUGCUGAUCAAGAUGAUUGUCUAGAAGUUUGCCCGCCUUAUUCUCCUCCACUAGGGAAACACCGAAAAAUUUUACCAUGAGCAUUUUAUAUUUGAAAAAGUGUGUGUAACACAUAUAUACACUAAAUAAUGUGGUUUUAGACCAAUUUUUUUUUAGAGUUUAUCUGCAAAUUAUAUGGUGAAG